CCUACGGGAGGCAGCAGUGGGGAAUAUUGGGCAAUGGGCGCAAGCCUGACCCAGCAACGCCGCGUGAAGGAAGAAGGCUUUCGGGUUGUAAACUUCUUUUAUCAGGGACGAAGCAAGUGACGGUACCUGAGGAAUAAGCCACGGCUAACUACGUGCCAGCAGCCGCGGUAAUACGUAGGUGGCAAGCGUUAUCCGGAUUUACUGGGUGUAAAGGGCGUGUAGGCGGGAGUGCAAGUCAGAUGUGAAAACUACGGGCUCAACCCAUAGCCUGCAUUUGAAACUGUACUUCUUGAGUGCUGGAGAGGCAAUCGGAAUUCCGAGUGUAGCGGUGAAAUGCGUAGAUAUUAGGAGGAACACCAGUGGCGAAGGCGGAUUGCUGGACAGUAACUGACGCUGAGGCGCGAAAGCGUGGGGAGCAAACAGGAUUAGAUACCCUUGUAGUC
RNAcentral lists this ribosomal RNA (443 nucleotides) under uncultured bacterium. RNAcentral's name for it is "partial 16S ribosomal RNA". It matches the Rfam family "Bacterial small subunit ribosomal RNA", at positions 338 to 795 of the family's 1533-position model. The record is from RNAcentral.